Molecule: ribosomal RNA, 498 nt
Filed under: uncultured bacterium
Lineage: Bacteria
Description: partial 16S ribosomal RNA
Rfam family: Bacterial small subunit ribosomal RNA
Source: RNAcentral
AUUGAACGCUGGCGGCAUGCCUUACACAUGCAAGUCGAACGGUAACGGGCCUUCGGGUGCCGACGAGUGGCGAACGGGUGAGUAAUACAUCGGAACGUGCCCGAUCGUGGGGGAUAACGAGGCGAAAGCUUUGCUAAUACCGCAUACGAUCUACGGAUGAAAGCAGGGGACCGCAAGGCCUUGCGCGGACGGAGCGGCCGAUGGCAGAUUAGGUAGUUGGUGGGAUAAAAGCUUACCAAGCCGACGAUCUGUAGCUGGUCUGAGAGGAUGAUCAGCAACACUGGGACUGAGACACGGCCCAGACUCCUACGGGAGGCAGCAGUGGGGAAUUUUGGACAAUGGGCGCAAGCCUGAUCCAGCCAUGCCGCGUGCAGGAUGAAGGCCUUCGGGUUGUAAACUGCUUUUGUACGGAACGAAAAGCCUUCUUCUAAUACAGGAGGGUCAUGACGGUACCGUAAGAAUAAGCACCGGUUAACUACGUGCCAGCCGCCGCAGUAA